RNAcentral lists this unclassified non-coding RNA (253 nucleotides) under uncultured Pseudomonadaceae bacterium. Its description in RNAcentral is "contains 16S-23S intergenic spacer region". It matches the Rfam family "Bacterial small subunit ribosomal RNA", at positions 524 to 776 of the family's 1533-position model. Lineage: Bacteria; Pseudomonadati; Pseudomonadota; Gammaproteobacteria; Pseudomonadales; Pseudomonadaceae. The record is from RNAcentral.
UACGGAGGGUGCAAGCGUUAAUCGGAAUUACUGGGCGUAAAGCGCGCGUAGGCGGGUUGUUAAGUUGGAUGUGAAAGCCCCGGGCUCAACCUGGGAACUGCAUCCAAAACUGGCAAGCUAGAGUACGGGAGAGGGUGGUGGAAUUUCCUGUGUAGCGGUGAAAUGCGUAGAUAUAGGAAGGAACACCGGUGGCGAAGGCGGCUACCUGGGCUGAUACUGACACUGAGGUGCGAAAGCGUGGGGAGCAAACAGG